RNAcentral lists this small RNA (79 nucleotides) under Salmonella enterica. RNAcentral's name for it is "partial RtT sRNA". It matches the Rfam family "RtT RNA", at positions 47 to 130 of the family's 130-position model. From Rfam's summary of the family: This family represents a bacterial cis-regulatory element known as RtT RNA. The exact function of RtT is unknown although it is thought that it may be involved in changing the cellular response in relation to amino acid starvation. Lineage: Bacteria; Pseudomonadati; Pseudomonadota; Gammaproteobacteria; Enterobacterales; Enterobacteriaceae. RNAcentral also lists the same sequence under 5 other names. The record is from RNAcentral.
GUUGAACGUGAAGGAUAACGUUGCGUCAGCAACGGCCCGUAGGGCGAGGCGAAGCCGAGUCAUCCUGCACGACCCACCA